CUCCCCUCCCGAAGCUGCCCAGGCCUUCGUGUCCCUCAGUGCUUCCCUACCUCAUCGCCGUCUCCCCUCACGGUACUUCAGCCCACUGUCCCCACCGUUCCUGGGGCUCGCCAGGCGCCCUCUCCCCCGCCCGCUGCCCGGUGCAGCGCUCUCCCGACGCCCGCGUGGCUUUCUUCCAGGUCUUUGCUCAAAUGUCAGCUUACAAGGUCUUCUCUGCUGCCCUCCUGCUCCGUGGCACUGAUUCCCUCCCGAUGCACUGUCAGGUCAGCUGCGCAGCAAAGGGAUUUUUGGACCCGCAGCAGCGCCUGACACACAGCAGGCAUUCCCUCAGCGCUGCGGAAUACAGGCAGACCCGGGGCUCAGGGCGCUGUCUGGGCCUCACUGGGACCCGUGGGGUCAGACAGAGGCUGAGGUCUGUGGGUUGUGGCCUUGUUUCCAAGAUGCUCCACGGGCUGACGGCCCAGGCGCCUCUCGGGUGCGGAGAAGGCAGGAAACCUAACCCCUGCUUCCAAAUUUAAUCAGUAGAAACGGUAUCAUCACCCAGCACAGGCCAGGAUCAUUUCUGAGGUUAGUUCUGGCCCAAUCAUGCAUGCAUUUCUUUUUUCUUUUUUUUUUUGAGACGGAGUCUCACUCUGUCACCCAGGCUGGGGUGCAAUGGCCCGAUCUCGGCUCACUGCAACCUCCGCCUGCCGAGGGUUCAAGCGAUUCUCCCGCCUCAGCCUCUCGAGUAGCUAGGACUAGAGGCACCCGCCACCACACCGGCUAAUUUUUGUAUUUUUAGUAGAAACGGGGUUUCACUAUAUUUGGCCAGGCUGGUCUUGAACUCCUGACCUCGUGAUCCGCCCGCCUCGGCCUCCCAAAGUGCUGGGAUUACAGGCAUGAGCCACCGCGCCCGGCCUCAUGCGUGUAUUUCUUUCUUCACUCAACACUCAUUGAGCAACUACUGCACACCAGACCCUAUGCUGAAUGCACGCAGAUACCCCCAGUCCCAUGAGAUUGGACAGGAGCGUGGAACUCAAGGGUGACUCUGGCUCUGCCUGGGGAAAGAGAGAGAGGGCUUCCGAGGGGUAAGGACAUUGGAACCAGGGCUGAGGGAUGAAUAGGAUUUGGUUGGAGUUGGACUUCCUGCAAAAUGAGGCAUUGGAGCGAGACUGUUGAGGAAUUAAGAGUUGGAGCCUGUGCAUUUAGAUUUUUUGUUUGUUUGUUUGUUUUUUAGAGAUGGAGUCUGGCUCUGUUGCCCAGGCUGCAGUGCAAUGGCGCAAUCUCGGUUCACUGUAACCUCCGCCUCCCGGGUUCAAGUGAUUCUCCUGCCUCAGGCUCCCGAGUUGCUGGGAUUACAGGCUGGGCACCACCACGCCCGCCUAAUUUUUGUAUUUUUAGUAGACGGGGUUUCACUAUGUUGGCCAGGCUGGUCUCAAACUCCUGACCUCAGGUGAUCCGCCCGCCUCGGCCUGCCAUAGUGCUGGGAUUACAGGCGUAAGCCACCGCGCCCGGCCUGCAUUUAGGGUUUUGAAUGUCCAGAGGUUGGGGACAGGGGCUUCAGCCUCCUUCCAGUCGUCUUUGCAGCAGCGCGAAUCCAGUCAUUCCUGCUCUGACCACCAGAGAGCGCACGGGCCCCGUCCCUGGGAAUCCAGGAAAACCCCAGGCUGGGGAGGGGCGAGGCUUGCCAGACGCAGCCCCUGCACCAGCCUUCACGCUCCGCAAGUGCAGGAGGAGCAGCAGGCCUGGUUCAAACGACGCCAAACCACGAACUGGCUGUGUGUCCCUAGGCAAGUGGCCUAACCUCUGAGAAGGCGGCAGAACCUGACGGUUUUCCGUUGGCUCGGAGCAGACAUGAGGACCGCUGGCACCUCCUCAGCCCUCUCUGUGCUCUGCUGCCUGCCCCGAGUCACCUGCCCCUCGCUGACCCCUCCCCAGCCUCACUGGCCCCCUUGGGUGGGCUAAGCAGGUUCCCACCUCUGGGCCUUGCAAGGCUGUGCCCUUCCCCAAGUCCCCUCUCCUUCCCCUGCUUUUUUUUUUUUUUUUUUUUUUUUUUGAGAUGGAGUCUCACUCUGUUGCCCAGGCUGGAGUGCAAUGGUGCGAUCUCAGCUCACUGCAACCUCCGCCUCCAGGGGUCAAGCGAUUCUCCUGCCUCAGCCUCCCGAGUAGCUGGGAUCACAGGCAUGCGCCACCACGCCCGGCUAAUUUUUGUAUUUUUAGUAGAGCUGGGGUUUCGCCAUGUUGGCCAGGCUGGUCUCGAACUCCUGACCUCAGGUGAUCCGCCCACCUCGGCGUCCCAAAGUGCUGGGAUGACAGGCGUGAGCCACCGCGCCCGGCCCUUUCCCCUGGUUUUUAGGAGGCUGCCCCAUCCACCACUGCACCCCACUUCUCAGAGCCCCCUUUCCAUCCCCCACAGCCAUCCUCACAUCUGUGGGUUAUUAAUGGCGUCUCCCCAUAUGUGAGGCCAAUACCCAGCGCACCAGUAGGUGUUCAGUAGAUUCCCAAAUGCACCAACAGUUGCCGAGUGUCUACUGUGUGCUGGGCUCAAGCAGGUGCUGGAAACACAGUGGGAAUGAGAAGGAACGUAGGGAUUUUGUAUCAAACUAAGCAGGGCGAGGUGGCUCACGCCUGAGACCAGGAGUUCAAAACCAUCCUGAGCAACAUAGUGAGACCCUGUCUCUACAAAAAUAGAAUUAGGCCGGGGACAGUGGCUCAUGCCUGUAAUCCCAGCACCUUGAGAGGCUGAGGCAGGAGGAUCACUUGAGUCCAG
RNAcentral lists this long non-coding RNA (2749 nucleotides) under Homo sapiens (human). RNAcentral describes it as "HSALNT0395528". Lineage: Eukaryota; Metazoa; Chordata; Mammalia; Primates; Hominidae. The record is from RNAcentral.